CAGGGAGACAACAAAAUGUUUAAUAUUAUUAUUUUGUCACCUUAGGUCGAUCGGUAUCUCACGUUCUUAAUUUAUUAAGAAUUUCAUUUCCUAAGUUUUUCUAGGUCACACCCAUUAUUUUUCCUGGGCCAUUAGCUCAGGUGGUUAGAGCGCACCCCUGAUAAGGGUGAGGUCCCUGGUUCAAGUCCAGGAUGGCCCAUAUCUCUAUGUUGGGGGUAUAGCUCAGUUGGUAGAGCGCCUGCUUUGCAAGCAGGAUGUCAGCGGUUCGAGUCCGCUUACCUCCACUGAUUACCACCUCUACCAUAAUCUGUAGUAAGGAAAUGUUUUGAGUAGUGAUCAAAUUCUGAACGAAUCUAGCUUCCUAAUGAAAUCAUUAAGAUGCUGGACUCAUUGAAUUAAUUUCAUUGUUUUCAGAGAACCUUGACAACUGCAUAGAUUAUUUUUAAAGACAAUAAGCAUCUUUAAUGAUGCAGAUUUAUUAUUUGUGCGAAUGCAUUAAUAACAAUUCUAUUAAGCUGAUGCUUCAAUUUUUGAAGUUAUU
This 541-nucleotide transfer RNA is filed under the name uncultured cyanobacterium. RNAcentral describes it as "partial 16S-23S ribosomal RNA intergenic spacer". The stretch from base 212 to 284 matches the Rfam family "tRNA". The record is from RNAcentral. Lineage: Bacteria; Bacillati; Cyanobacteriota.